GAAGGUGGUGGUGGAUGAGCAGGAAUAAUUAAUUAAUUAACAUUUAAUUGUGAACCUCCUGACUAGCUUGCCAGCCACACACUUCCUCUACAGUCUGGUGAUCAUUAUGUACAACUAUGUCAUGCUACUAAGAAAUACUGUUAAUAGGCCUCCCUAUAUAGCCUACAUGUUGAAAGUGCAACCCCAAAAUCUGCAACUCACUUCCUGCAAAGUCACACAGUCAUAUAUAGUGUAACAUUUCAGUAGCCUGUAUGUAAACUGAAUCGACUUUAUUUCACUAUCGUUUAACUAUACGAAACAGAACCACUCAGUGUGUAACAUUUCAACAUGCUCCCCCUUUAAUUUUGAGCCUUAAAACCCAAGAUGAGAUGUUGGCCGUGUUCGAGAGCAUCAUACCCAUGAUGCAUUGGGGGUAAAUGGUAACUGACUGAUCUAAAAAAAUAAUAAGCCAGCGGUUAUAUGUGAUGCAAGGUGAUUUGUAGAUCAGUCAGUCGGUAGCCGCCUGCAAUGCUCAACAAGCCCAUUGCCUGCAGUGUUCAGGUAAUCUUCCACUCACUGAGGGAGAGCGUGACGCCCUGCGCGUUCAGGUAAUCUUCCACUCACUGAGGGAGAGCGUGACGCCCUGCGCGUUCAGGUAAUCUUCCACUCACUGAGGGAGAGCGUGACGCCCUGCGCGUUCAGGUAAUCUUCCACUCACUGAGGGAGAGCGUGACGCCCUGCGCGUUCAGGUAAUCUUCCACUCACUGAGGGAGAGCGUGACGCCCUGCGCGUUCAGGUAAUCUUCCACUCACUGAGGGAGAGCGUGACGCCCUGCGCGUUCAGGUAAUCUUCCACUCACUGAGGGAGAGCGUGACGCCCUGCGCGUUCAGGUAAUCUUCCACUCACUGAGGGAGAGC
Molecule: long non-coding RNA, 896 nt
Organism: Oncorhynchus keta (chum salmon)
Lineage: Eukaryota; Metazoa; Chordata; Actinopteri; Salmoniformes; Salmonidae
Exons: 5
Source: RefSeq, a predicted model, not a curated record